GUCAAAACUGUUAAGGUCCUGUAUACUGAGCAUUUUAUUCCAUUCAAGCAAAGCUAGCUUAAAAAGGAAUCAUUUAGCUGUAUUUAAUAAUAAAGCUCAGAAAAACUCAUACAGUGUUAAAAUAAGCCACCAUUGGAGGAAGGUACCUAAUGAGGAGAGUAGAUGCCAACUCCUCUUCUUGGCUUAACAUUUUAGAAAUGAUAAAUUCCGUAUAGAACAUUUUAAGAUAUCGGCAGGAGUGCUUUCUACAGGGGAAAUCAUUUUAUACUUCAGAAUUAGGACAGAUAUGUGAGAAUUCCCAUCAGCCAGUGUGGAUUUCUUUCUUCAAGCUCUUCCAAUACAACCAGCUAUAUAAGUUUCUCAAAUAACCCUUCUUGUGCCAUGUUCUGUGGCUUGCAUCAGAAGAGGAAUUUGUCUUCAUGAAGAUUCCUAACAUUGGUAAUGUGAUGAAUAAAUUUGAGAUCCUUGGGGUUGUAGGUGAAGGAGCCUAUGGGGUUGUACUAAAAUGCAGGCACAAG
This 518-nucleotide long non-coding RNA is filed under the name Phascolarctos cinereus (koala). RNAcentral describes it as "lncRNA (ENSPCIG00000032848.1)". Lineage: Eukaryota; Metazoa; Chordata; Mammalia; Diprotodontia; Phascolarctidae. The record is from RNAcentral.